Molecule: small nucleolar RNA, 138 nt
Organism: Tachyglossus aculeatus (Australian echidna)
Lineage: Eukaryota; Metazoa; Chordata; Mammalia; Monotremata; Tachyglossidae
Source: RefSeq, a predicted model, not a curated record
CCACUCUCAGGAUCACACCUGGAGAGUUUCCAGUACUCUACCAGUCUCGAAUAUGGGAGGGAGAGUCAAGCAGAGGCAUACCCAUCCCAUUCCUAGCUUGGGCAGUGACUAGCGAGUGGAAGGCAAUCUGCUAUAAAU